CGUGAGGUCACAGAAACAGCUUUUAAACUGUGUCAAGAUAGCCAGAGCUGGAACAGCAGAGCUACACUGAUUGCCCACUGGACACGGAAAAGCGGCUUCUCUCACACAAAGGUCCAAGAAACUAACUUGGGAAAGGAGAGGGAAAGUUCUCAUUUUCAUAUGCUGGUAAGACAUUCUAGUGCUACCAUGUCAAAAUAUAAGCUUUAAAAUUGUAGACCAGUGGUGGUG
Long non-coding RNA from Pan paniscus (pygmy chimpanzee), 228 nucleotides. NCBI's taxonomy places the organism in Eukaryota, Metazoa, Chordata, Mammalia, Primates, Hominidae. The record is from Ensembl.